GAUGAACGCUGGCGGCGUGCUUAACACAUGCAAGUCGAACGGAAAGGCCCUGCCUUUGUGGGGUACUCGAGUGGCGAACGGGUGAGUAACACGUGAGUAAUCUGCCCUUCACUUUGGGAUAACUCUAGGAAACUGGGGCUAAUACCGGAUAGGAGCUUGUGCUGCAUGGUGGGGGUUGGAGAGUUUCGGCGGUUGGGGAUGGGCUCGCGGCUUAUCAGCUUGUUGGUGGGGUAGUGGCCUACCAAGGCGUGGACGGGUAGCCGGCCUGAGAGGGUGACCGGCCACAUUGGGACUGAGAUACGGCCCAGACUCCUACGGGAGGCAGCAGUGGGGAAUAUUGCACAAUGGGCGGAAGCCUGAUGCAGCAACGCCGCGUGGGGGAUGACGGCCUUCGGGUUGUAAACCGCUUUCGCCAGUGACGAAGCGUGAGUGGCGGUAAUGGGUAAAGAAGCACCGGCUAACUACGUG
This 468-nucleotide ribosomal RNA is filed under the name uncultured bacterium. RNAcentral's name for it is "partial 16S ribosomal RNA". It matches the Rfam family "Bacterial small subunit ribosomal RNA", at positions 28 to 507 of the family's 1533-position model. The record is from RNAcentral.